This 473-nucleotide ribosomal RNA is filed under the name Pseudomonas sp. SC7. RNAcentral's name for it is "bacterial SSU rRNA". It matches the Rfam family "Bacterial small subunit ribosomal RNA", at positions 30 to 497 of the family's 1533-position model. Lineage: Bacteria; Pseudomonadati; Pseudomonadota; Gammaproteobacteria; Pseudomonadales; Pseudomonadaceae. The record is from RNAcentral.
UUGAACGCUGGCGGCAGGCCUAACACAUGCAAGUCGAGCGGUAGAGAGAAGCUUGCUUUUCUUGAGAGCGGCGGACGGGUGAGUAAUGCCUAGGAAUCUGCCUAGUGGUGGGGGAUAACGUUCGGAAACGGACGCUAAUACCGCAUACGUCCUACGGGAGAAAGCGGGGGACCUUCGGGCCUCGCGCCAUUAGAUGAGCCUAGGUCGGAUUAGCUAGUUGGUGAGGUAAUGGCUCACCAAGGCGACGAUCCGUAACUGGUCUGAGAGGAUGAUCAGUCACACUGGAACUGAGACACGGUCCAGACUCCUACGGGAGGCAGCAGUGGGGAAUAUUGGACAAUGGGCGAAAGCCUGAUCCAGCCAUGCCGCGUGUGUGAAGAAGGUCUUCGGAUUGUAAAGCACUUUAAGUUGGGAGGAAGGGUAGUAACUUAAUACGUUGCUACUUUGACGUUACCGACAGAAUAAGCASCGGC